UGCAAGUCGAACGCUUCUUUUUCCACCGGAGCUUGCUCCACCGGAAAAAGAGGAGUGGCGAACGGGUGAGUAACACGUGGGUAACCUGCCCAUCAGAAGGGGAUAACACUUGGAAACAGGUGCUAAUACCGUAUAACAAUCGAAACCGCAUGGUUUUGAUUUGAAAGGCGCUUUCGGGUGUCGCUGAUGGAUGGACCCGCGGUGCAUUAGCUAGUUGGUGAGGUAACGGCUCACCAAGGCGACGAUGCAUAGCCGACCUGAGAGGGUGAUCGGCCACAUUGGGACUGAGACACGGCCCAAACUCCUACGGGAGGCAGCAGUAGGGAAUCUUCGGCAAUGGACGAAAGUCUGACCGAGCAACGCCGCGUGAGUGAAGAAGGUUUUCGGAUCGUAAAACUCUGUUGUUAGAGAAGAACAAGGAUGAGAGUAACUGUUCAUCCCUUGACGGUAUCUAACCAGAAAGCCACGGCUAACUACGUGCCAGCA
RNAcentral lists this ribosomal RNA (486 nucleotides) under Enterococcus hirae. RNAcentral's name for it is "bacterial SSU rRNA". It matches the Rfam family "Bacterial small subunit ribosomal RNA", at positions 56 to 513 of the family's 1533-position model. Lineage: Bacteria; Bacillati; Bacillota; Bacilli; Lactobacillales; Enterococcaceae. The record is from RNAcentral.